Molecule: long non-coding RNA, 27242 nt
Filed under: Lactuca sativa (garden lettuce)
Lineage: Eukaryota; Viridiplantae; Streptophyta; Magnoliopsida; Asterales; Asteraceae
Description: long non-coding RNA (LSAT_LNC005397)
Source: RNAcentral
GGUAAAUUUCACUUGAAAGUACAAUGAUGUGAUAGAAUGAAAAGAAAGUACAACACUAUAAUAUACAAAUAAAAGAAAGUAUGUUUUUUUUUUUUUAAAUUGUUUUUUGAAUUGGCGAAAGGUAAGGAAAAGAUGGACUAUACUUAUGCACCUGGAAGGAAUCAUUUGUUUGUUCCGGGACCCGUGAACAUCCCGGAUCAAGUACUUCGUGCAAUGAACCGAAACAAUGAAGACUANACUUGAAAGUACAAUGAUGUGAUAGAAUGAAAAGAAAGUACAACACUAUAAUAUACAAAUAAAAGAAAGUUGUUUUUUUUUUUUUAAAUUGUUUUUUGAAUUGGCGAAAGGUAAGGAAAAGAUGGACUAUACUUAUGCACCUGGAAGGAAUCAUUUGUUUGUUCCGGGACCCGUGAACAUCCCGGAUCAAGUACUUCGUGCAAUGAACCGAAACAAUGAAGACUAUCGGUCUCCAGCAGUUCCCGCUUUGACUAAAAUUUUACUUGAAGAUGUGAAGAAGAUUUUCAAAACCACUUCGGGGACCCCUUUUCUCAUCCCAACUACAGGUAUAUUAUUUUCUUUUCUCUAGGGUUAAAUAUCAACAUAUAGUUACUUAUUGCAAUAUUUUGGGUUAGGUACGGGUGCAUGGGAAAGUGCACUUACAAACACCUUGUCUCCUGGAGACCGAAUUGUGUCAUUUGUGAUUGGACAAUUCAGUUUGCUUUGGGUGGAUCAACAGCAACGACUUGGGUUCAAUGUUGAUGUGGUGGAAAGUGAAUGGGGUGCGGGUGCUAACUUGGAAGUUUUAGCAUCAAAACUGGCUGCAGAUACUGCGCAUACUAUUAAGGCUGUCUGCAUUGUUCACAAUGAGACUGCCACCGGAGUUACAAACAACUUGGCUUCCGUAAGGAAAAUACUUGGUAAAAUCAUUUUGCUUUUUUUAGUUUUUUAUCGCAUCAUAUUCAUAUUAUUACAUCCAUCUAAACUCGCCUUCUUAAUUAUUUUGUUUUAAGCGACUUAAUAUGGUAAGUUAAGUGAAAGAGAUGUUCCCUUAUUUUCUAUCUUUUGUUAUUGGUCAACCUCUAACAUUAGUAUGGUAAAAUCCAGGAAAAUAUAAUUUACUUUGUCAGUUCCUGUUUAACAACUUUAUCGAUUUAAUCAUUUAACUGUUUUCUAUAGUAAAUAAACGAUUAUACUUUUUUACUGUCAUUGUUUUUAUUAUUGUCAUUAGGAUGAAAUAAUAUUAUCUCUAGAAACAAGUGGUUUAAAUUUUAAAAGUCCUUUUUCUUGUACUUUGUAACUUUUACUAGCUCCUUGAUAGUUGUUUUUCAAUAAAUUUGGGUGGCUGUUUAAAAUAAAAAUUACAAUUUAUAACAAUCAAUAAUAAUAAUGUUUUUUAAUUUUGAAUGGUAACGUAUAAUGGUUUAUUUACUACAUAUAAAAUAGUUAACUUCUUAAUCAUAAAAUUAUGACAGUAGGUAAUGAUUUUGUAUAUUAUACAUUUAUUUAUACUGAUACCAAAAUUUGGUAACAAGGAAAAAUAGUAAUAAUUUAGAAUAGUCAAAAAAAUAUGUAAUGAUUUAAUCACACUUGAGAAAACAGUCAACUGAUGCAAUCGACAGAUGGUAAUUAAGUACGCUGUGAUUUUUUGUAUACAUUACCGGUAUAAAAAUAAAAACGGGUUUUAAACGGUAAAAAGUGUAUGAUCACCACAGAUUAAUCGAUAAAUGGUUAAUUAAAAUACAUUGUCCUUUUCUUAAUUUUUGUGUAUUAAAAUAGUAUUUUGUUGGGUAAGUAAUAAGUUUUGUAAAUUUGGUAAUAUAUAUGUUAGAUCACUACCAGCACCCGGCCCUGUUUCUAGUUGAUGGGGUGUCAUCAAUAUGCGCUUUGGAUUUCCGCAUGGAUGAAUGGGGUGUAGAUGUGGCUUUAACCGGUUCUCAGAAAGCACUUUCCCUUCCCACCGGUAUGGGAAUCGUGUGUGCGAGCCCUAAAGCCAUCGAGGCCUCUCAAACUGCAAAAUCACUUCGAGUUUUCUUUGACUGGAAAGAUUACUUGAAAUUCUACAAAAUGGGGACUUAUUGGCCCUACACUCCUUCCAUUCAGCUUCUCUAUGGCCUAAAAGCUGCCCUUGAUCUCAUCUUUGAAGAAGGCUUGGAUAAUGUUAUUGCAAGGCACAAUCGUCUUGGCACUGCCACAAGGUAUAUAAAUUAUUUACAUUAAUAUCAACAAACUUAACUUUCUAUUUACUUUAUAGUUUAUACUACUAAUAAAUAAAUAUGUAUGUGUAAUGAAGGCUGGCUGUUGAAGCAUGGGGGUUGAAAAACUGCACCCAAAAGGAGGAAUGGUUCAGUGACACAGUCACAGCUGUGGUUGUUCCUCCAUAUAUUGAUAGCUCUGAAAUUGUUAGAAGGGGAUGGAAAAGAUACAACUUAAGCUUGGGUCUUGGCCUUAACAAAGUAGCUGGAAAAGUCUUCAGAAUAGGACAUCUUGGCCAUGUUAAUGACGUAAGCAUACAUACAUACAUACAUGCAUAUGUCUAUCGAUGUUACAAAAUUAAGAAUUAAUAAAUGAAUGUGUGUGUAGUUGCAACUGCUGGGGUGUCUUGCGGGGGUGGAGAUGGUGCUCAAGGAUGUGGGAUACCCGGUGAAGCUGGGGAGUGGAGUGGCUGCUGCUUGUGCAUAUCUACAGAACAACAUUCCCAUGAUUCCAUCAAGGAUUUGAAUUCUGUCAGUGUCACUGUCAGUGUCAAUUGUGUUUAUGUAUGUAACUACUGCAUGCUACUCCUCUUCUUCAAUGUUGAUUUGCUUCAAAUUAAUACCUUUGUAAAGAACACUUAAAUAUCCUACUUUACUUCAAUCAUCUUCAUUUGUAAAUUCUUGUUUUCUCAUUACAUCCAUGAAUAUGCCUUUGAGUUGAAAAAUUAUGUGUGACCAAAUUCAAAUCUAUAUCAACUACCAUCACCCACACAAUAUUAAAUGUGAGCUUGUUGCUUGUUAGUACAAGAGGUUUUGACAAUUGACCCACUAUGGAAGUGAGACUUGAGAGUUGAGAGCCUACUCAUAUAGAAAAUCGAUGGGCUUAGUUAGAAAAGCUCUUUGCUAUUAUCAAUAUAAAUCUAUUGGUUUGCAAAAUUAGGGCGAUUAGUAAACGAUUAUAGUGGGAUGAUCAUAAUUAAGAACAACAUGACACCUUACUAUUUGGACUGAAAGUGUUGUGAAUCUCAUGAUUAAUUGGGUCUCAUGAUUAACAUGGUCGAUGCAUUACAACCAAAUCCCCUCAAGAAUCCUAGUGCCAACCUAUUUAAGUGGAGUCUUUCCUCACUUUAAGGGGGUUGAGAGGCAUUGAUAUUCAUACUUUAAGGUUUAGCAAUCCAUUCUUUGCACUUUAUUGGUUGGAUGUUGAUUCUUGCAUGUGUCUAUUAGAUGGAAGCUACUUUGGUUCCUAUACCAUACAUGGAGUUCAACACUACAUCAUCCAAAGUACACCUCAAUCUAAGUUUUACUAUAAAACACAAUAUGGUAGUGAUUGUUGCUUAAAUACUCUCAAGGAUUAUUGAUAAGAACACUUUUGAGGACAUAAUCAAAUGUAGCUUAAUGCUUGCAAUUAAUCGAAAGAAAGCCUGAAAUUCGAGACUCAAGAGGAUCUCCAAAAACGAAAAUAAGGUUCUAAAUCUUCUACCACCGAGAGGUCGGCUCCCUCUCUACUUAGUCUAACGCUAGCUGAAAAUUAGGAAGCAAAUACUUCAAAUGAAAGCAUAAUCCAAAAAGAUACAUAUCAAAAUUAACUAAUGAUGUUUUUUUUAGCAAAAUAACUAAUCGCCCCUUUGCAAUUUCUUUCCACGCCUCUGAUAAGCUUUGGCGACCCAGCCCAUUCAUAUCAACCCCCCCUCUUUAUGAAAAAUCACCUGGAAAUCGGUGUUGAGUAUCCUCACGUUCCUCUCAUGUAGUUCAAAUGGAAGCUCGAUAAGCACUUGUUGUCACUAACCACGUUGGUGUCAAGAAAGAAAGGCACGAAUACUAAGGUGCUGUUUGGUUUUUUUUUUUUUUUUUUUUUUUUUUUUUUUUUUUAAAAAAAAACCUCUUCAGAUUUUUUAUUGCUACUGGACGCAACACACACCAAACACUUUUAAUCUCGUAGUUGUUUGUUUUUUAGAAGUCUUCAGAGUAAAAAAUCUCAGUGCGUGUUCUGUUUGGCGCAUCACUUGUAUUGCCUCUUUCAACCACUUUUUUUAUUUUUUAUUUUUUUUUUGCUGAAAUCUUUAUUAUAUGUUGCUGAAAUAUUCUUUUACAUUUUUUUUUCGUUUUUUUAUAUUAAAUAAUAAUAAUUUCUUGAUGAACAUUAUUAUUUUUUUUGCUAAAAUAUCUUUAUUUUUUUGUUGAAAUAUCAUUAUUUUGUUGAAAUAUCAUAAAUUAUUGCUAAAAUGUCAUACAUUAUUAAAUUUUCGGUAUUAACAAAACUAUUUUCGAUUUAUAAAAUCAAUUUAUUUUAAUUUUUAAUAUCUGCAGCAGCAUGUAGAUAUUAAAAAAACAAACACGUUUCUUAUUAUAAUAUGCAGCCGUUUGGUCCACCUCUUCUACUGUAGAGGGUAGCGGAGGUGGUCCACAGACUUCAUGAAUUUUUUAUUAAAAAAACAAACAACACCUAAAUAAGUUUUGGAAGGAUUUUAUUUUAUUUUAUUAAUUGGUCUUUAUGUGGCCAAUAUGCUAAUGCCAGUUUUAUAUGUUUACUAUACUAUGAACGUGUUCGACAAAAAUAGCUGGUAGCGUGUAACGAGUAGCGUUUGAUUUUGGAGAGUUUUGUUCAAAGCUUCUCCAUGUAGCUUUUGAUUUUGGAACAUUUUGUUUAAAGUAAAAACUAAACGCUCCUGUUGUUGCCGAACGAAGUUUGUUUUUUUGUUUAUUUUUUUUAUACAAGUGUUUUCUUAAAAACUAGAAGCCAGAAGCUCCUAAAUGCCACGUGCCGAACACGCCCAAGUAUUUCUUGAAGCCUAUGUUUGAAGGAGAGAUUUUUUUGAUAAAACUAUAAAAGUAAUAUUUGUUUGAGUAGAGUCGCUCUAUAUCAAAAUUGUCUCGUUGAUUGUCUUUUCUUUCCCGUUUGUAGUGUGUUUUUCAUUGUAGUUGCAUCACACCUUCUUGAGCUACGACACAUGGAAAACUGGGUGAAUGGAAGCGAUGGACGACAAUAAACUGAGUGGGCCAGGUUGGAAAACCUGGCGAGUACAUAGGGAUUUCAAUCCCACAAUGUGAUAAUAAUGUAUAUCUCAAACCUGCAAUCCAACUAUUAUCAUUAACCCAUAUAUCAUAUCUUUUAAAACAAUUUAUCCUAUCUCGUCGAUUCCCUCGUAUAAAUCCUAUACAACAAUCUUACAAGAUCUAUCCUAAAGGAUCAAUAUGAACAACAAUCUGACGACGCUGUUUUGGAAAUUCCCUGACAGCAAACGAGGAUCAAUAAGUACAUCAAAUGAGGGGAAUGGAAUAAGUUUCACCAUGAACCUCCGUUCGUAAAAACAACAAGACAAUUAAGUCAGGGGUGGUUAUCUAGAUUACUGUGCCUAGCAAUGGUAUGAGAUCAUGAGCUAUUUUACCCCAAAACUCACCCUAUCCAGCAAUACAACAUCAUAUAUACCUAGUAGUGGUCUAUUGCUGACACACUAUAUUAGGCAGUCUACGAAGUUCCCUCAAUUACUUCAUGAAAGGAAACUCUGACACAUGAAGCUCGUCUGAUCACUUCAUAAAAGAAACGAUGACUCCAAAGCUCUUCAAAAUAAAAAGUAUGGGUAAAUACUAAUAAAGUACUCCCGUACGCUCCCAUACCCAGACACACAAUAGUGUCAAAAAAGGACUUUGUACAUGAUAGUACUUCUGGCAUAUUAUAGUACCCUAUUAUGAGUAGGACUCGUACCCUAGAACAUAAUAAUACCCCAACACAAGCAGCACCUAAAACACAGAGUUUUGUAAAAAGAAUUGGUACAUAGAAAGUACUUUUGUACGUAGGACAUACUCCAUCGAUCAUCAAUCUCCUCGAACAGAGUUUAUACUCUCUAUUCCGAUCACACACAUACCGUUAAUAAGAUACUACCCAAUAUCCAAACUUAAUUGAACUAAGCAUCUCUUUUAAGUCUUAUUUCAUCACUAAGCAAGCCUACAAUGCUUAUAAUCAACUUUCAAUACUAACUCUGUUUCGGAAACACUAUCUAAAUUUAGUCUACUAUUUUAUACAGAGUAUUAAGUAUUAACAUACAUUUAUCUUCUCAUUUAUAAUACUUCUAUUAUUAGUAUCUUGUAAAUACAUCUCAACACAUAUAGAACCAUGCCUGGUUCGUAUAGCGUAUAUCAUCAAAUAUACAUAUAACACAAAUUUCCAGAUAAUAAUCAUAUAACUCACAUAUAAAAUUUCAACAUAUAUUUAAUACUUUUAUUAAUACUUGUAUUAAAAUCAUGUUCAUGAAAGGGACUAUGCACUCACUUGUUAAAUUGAUGACUCGAAAUUCAGACAACGAUUCGCUUCUAGCAAUUGCCUUUUUCUGUUGACGAAACCUAGUAUUAUUAUCACUAAGUUUUAGUCUAAGAUUGCGACUAAUUAGUAGUCUAGAUUCAUCAUUAACUCAAAGUAUACUUUCAUGAUCUAUCAAUUAAGGAACAACCAGGUAGGAUCAUAUCAGAGGUAGGGUCCAUUUGGUAUACGAAGUAUACUGUUUGGAAAUCCCACUUUAAACACCUUACUAAAUCACAACCUAGACAUCAUCCAUGUAAGUAGAUCAAUCAAUAUAACGACUUGGAAUCACUUAUAAAUCUUGUUUAUAGUUUCAUAAUAAUGAUAAUGAACUUAAACAUAAGUUAUACUUAAAGUAUGGUAGCCAUAACUCACUUACAAGGGGGUUUAGCAAAGAACUGGGCUUUGCGCGGACAGAACUUCUGAGGCGAAAGAUCUUCUUCUCAGGGCCUUCUGGCGCUCCGGGACUCGCUUCUAGAACCUAGUAGGUUAUAGGGAAAAAUUUGGAAGGGUUGGGGUGUUUGGGAGAGAAGGUUUGAGAAAGUGUGAAGAAAAAUGAGUGAUCCGCGCCUCUAUUAAUAGGCUGGGAAAUUGGGUUACGUGGGACGUAACUGAGAUGUACGUUGGGCGUAAUCGAUAUACAGGGGGUACCAAGCCCUACGCUGGGCGUACCGGCUCCAUGUAUAAGCAUCACAUGCGAAACCAUGGGGAGGAAGGUGUGACUGAGAUGGUGCCACGUGUCACCUUCGGAACUUAACCCCAAAAUUAAUUAUCUUCCAAAUUCUAUAACUUUCACAUACGAGCUCAAUUUUUGACAUUAUUUAUUUCCACGCGUAGGUAGCGAAGUGAUCUACAACUUUCGUUUAGACUCCAUUGGCUAAUUUUGACUUUAUUUUUAAAGUUAUAUUUUAACAGACUUAAACAGUUAAAGUCCGUUAAAAAUUCAUAACUUUGUCAUUCGACGUCCGUUUUCGAAUUUCUUUAUAUCGUUGAGCUCCUAUUAACGAGAUAUUCAAUUAUCAUUUAGGUUGUGUCGGCUAAUAAUCGAUCGAUCUGAAAUUCGAUUUUCGGGCUGUGAACUGCUUUGCUAAAUCUUAGAAAAAUCAUAACUUCCUCAAACAAAGUCAGAUUUGGAUGUUCUCUAUAUGCACACUCUCAGUUUAACAUAUACUAUGACUUUCGUUUAGAUCGCUAGGGCUAAAAAGUAUUUUUUCAAAAAUUUUCUUUUUACGAUACUCCGCGUCGUGCUGGUUUUGUCGCAAAACUUCGACGGGUCAUAACUUCUUCGUUUUAAGUCGGAUUUCAGCGUUCUUUAUAUGUAUGAAAUCCUUGUGACAUAUACUAUAACUUUGGUUCAGAUUAAUUACUCUAAAUAAUCUUCUAUCGAAAACUCAUUUAUAACGCUUAUUGUCUCUAAAUUGACUAGCCCGAAUCUGCAGGCGUUACAAAAAUAAACUCACAAAACACUGUCUCUAUCUGACACAUGAAAUGUUAUGUAAGCAAAGUACUUCCAGGAUAAUGAUCACAAAUAUAGACAAAACCAUGAAAUGGUGAUUAAGGGGUAUAAAAUGGGCUGAUUUGCUCAAGCGAUCCACGAACACAAAAAUUACACUAUACUUCACCGAUUUUUGUAACCCUUCAAUAAAAUCCAUACACAGAUCUUCCCAAAUCUAUUCUGGUAAUGCUAACGGUUGCAACAGACCCACCGACACCAAGUUUGAGUACUUGUUGCAUUGGCACACUGCACAUUCCAAGAUGAAUUUGGCCACAUCCUUCUGUAUUCCGACCUUAAAGAAUGCUUUCACGAGACGUUGAUAUGUUAUUUGCAUGCCAUCGUACCCCCCGGUCACCCCCAUUGGAAUUAUUGAAAUAAACGUACCACCUAUUUAGAUGUAUGCGAAAGUACUAAGUGAACCUUGUAGCGCACAUGCCCUCUUAGAAAUGACAUAGCCGACCAUAUAUUUGCUAGGGGUUUCUAUUUUUUUUGGAUAGUGGCCAAUUUUGGUUCGUUAAGAAAGUUGGAUAGAAGUUUACUCCCGUGGCUAAUCUCGGACAACGUGAGUUCCGCCAUGGAUACCCCCACCCCGUGCCUGGAUAACACGUGGCUACCCUGUUUUCUUUUCCCAAACGAUAUAUAAUCUUGAAUUCAAAUCUGGACAACUUUGAAAGGCACCAUUUAUGCUCGCCGAAUAUUGAUCGUUGCUCCAACAAAUACUUUAAGUUCUAUUGGUUGGUGGUAACCUUGAACCGACACCCAAGCAAAUAAGUCCGCCACUUUUGAACCGUUAUCACUAUUUUCAUCAACACUCGCUUAUGAACUGAAUUGAGUUGGGUGUGGGUUCCAAAGACCCGACUAAACCAAGCCACAAGUCUGUUUUAUUGCAUACGAGUUGGUCCUACACCAUAACCCGAGGCAUCCGUCCCGAUCGUGAAUGCUUUAGCAAAAUCUGGUAAAUUUAACACUGUUACCAACAUCAUUGCUUAUUGUGACUACCGAAAAGCUGGUGAUGCUUCGUCAUUCCAACUAAAUUUGUCUUUCUUGAGUAAGAUAGUCAACGGUUUGACGAUCCUUCCAUAACCUUACACAAAAUUUUGAUAAUAACCUAUUAGUUCUAAAAACCCACUCAACUUACCUAUUGUCUUGGGCAUAAGCCAUUCCAACAUAGUUAAAAUCUUGCUUGGUUCAGCUGCCAAUCCCUGCUUGUCACCACAUGCCAUAAAUAGUCAACUCGAUUGGAUCAGCUGCUAAUCCCUGCUAAUCCCCACAUGUCACAAAUAGUCAACCCGAUUUCGACCGAAUACACAUUUUUUCUAUUACAGAAUAGGCUCUCGGCCCUAAGACUUUCGAACACCAUCCUUAUGUGUUGCUGAUAAUCUUCCAUGGUUCUGUUGUAUACAAGAAUAUCGUCAAAGAAAACAAGCAGUAAUUUUCUGAGGUAAGGAAGAAAAAACUUAUUCAUGAAAGAUUGAAAUGUCAAAGGAAAUUGUAAUGCCCUUCAUGCGUUCGAAAUUCCUUCUUUGAUGUCUUCUUGUUUCAUGCGAAUGUGAUGGUACCCCGACUUGAGAUCCAACUUGCUAAAAAUCAUUGCUCCAUGUAGCUUGUCGAGCAACUCAUAAAUAAUGGGUCUAGGAUCAUGGAUUUGUUUAAGGAACGGUAAUCCAUGUAGAAAUGCCAACUCCUAUUUUUUUUACUAGUAGAGCCAUACUAGAGAAUGGGUUUGAGCUCAACCGAAUAACCCCCACGGUAAGUAUUUCUUCCAACAAACGCUCGAUUUUUUAUUUUGCAAUUGUAGGUAGCGCUACGGUCAGGUGUUGACAGGUUCGGUGCCCAUUUUCAAUGUAAUGGCAUGUUCGUGACCCUAAGGUGGCGGUAGCUCUGCUGGUAGCUGAAACACGUCAGUAAAUUCUAUCAUUAUUUCGUUAACUGUAGGGUGAACUUGAGAAUCGGUUUGAUCAAUGAAUUCUAGUUGGAGUACUGCUAUCAAAAAACCUUAACUACCCUGAGAUAAACCCAAAGUUCUAAAUAAAGAGAGUCGUGAGCUUGGUGGUGGGCUUGGUGGCAAGGUCAAAGUUAAGUCAUGGCAAGCCAUGACGUUUUUCAAGGCAUGAUUAUUUUAUAUACAUUAAAAAAGAUUAAUUAUAUAAUUAUUGAAUUUUAUCAAAUAUAUCAAGUUUUUAGAAGUGUUAUAUUAAUAUUUAAUAUAAAAAAGGUAACAAAAACUCAAUUAUUUUAGCCUCUAUCAGGAAAAACAAAAAAAUAAAAACCCAAAAAAAAAAAAACAUGCCCACCUUGAAAAGAAUGCGUGCCAUAACACGAUAAGGUACACCUUGACACGUUAUUUGGAUGCCACGAUAAACAAAACCGCCUUGGACAUUUUUGUAAUGACUACACCAUGCCUCGCGCCAUGGCACACCUUGAGGUCCACCAUGGCGCACUUUUUAGAGCCAUAGAUAAACCCCUUACCAAUGUCUGUAAGGACGUUUCUGACCGGUUCAAACCUGGUUUCCCUUGUAAAGUCACCUUGCGCCCCUUGUCCAUGAAUGUCACUGUUAAAUCACACUAGUUAACCCGAGUCUCUCUGAGGGUGCGAAGCCAUUUGAUACCCAAUAUAACAUCAAUACUACCCAAGUCUAGUGGAUAAAAACUGUGCACCAGUCGAAACCCAUGUAAGGUUAAUGUCACGCUCUUGAAACUUCCAACACUCUUGUCAAACCCUCUAUUACCCAAGAUAACACCAUUUUCUUGUGUCCCAUUUCCCAUUUAUGGUAAGCUCUAGCGGUUCAACCAACCGCAAUGAUACAAAAUUAUGUGUGGUACCGCUGUCAGUGAGCACAAUCACUUUGUGUUCACCGAUGAAUCCUCGUAAUUUCAUGGUAUGAGGUGUGGUGAACUUUUAUUAUCUUGAAGAUUUUCAAGGGAACGAUCCCGAUCAGUUUAUUAUUUUGAAGAUUUUCGUGAUUAUUGAAGAAAUUUUCAACUUUUGCAUCUGGAAUUUUUCCGGUUAGUUUUUACUGUUUUGUUGGUGAUGUUGCUUCCAAAAAUAAAGAUUUUGGUGUUAUUGUUUAUACAUUUGCUACUUUUUAUCUAAGUUCUUGAAGACAUUAUAUAUANNNNNNNNNNNNNNNNNNNNNNNNNNUAUAUAUAUAUAUAUAUAAUGAAGAAUAUGAAGUUAUUGUUGAAAAUAGAUUGUUUGAUAUGUUUAUCCCUUGGAAAAAGUUGUUUUGAAAAAGAAAUAAACCUAGUUUUAGGAUAUAGGAUUUAACAUUUUUACUAAGUUUAGAUGUUAAAGCUUUUUAUGGAGUGCAUAAGUUCUUAUAACUGAUGUGCAAAGCUUAGAAGCUAUCAUACGUUGAAUAAAGGAAAUUUAUGAAUGAGUAACAAUCGACAUUGUGCAUUAAUUGUCGUACAACGUAAGGAAUAAAUGCUAACACUCAUGCUUAGGGGUGUCAAAAAAACUCGAACCCGAUUAACUCGACCCGACCCUAACCCGAUUAAGGUAUUUAGGGUCGGGUUUUAUAGGGUCAAAAUUCUUAAUCGGGUUAUUCGGGUUAACCCGACAAACCCGAACUAUAGUUAGGGUCGGGUUUAGGGUUGAUUUUUUUUAUAAAAGUCGGGUUUCGGGUUAACCCGAUUAACCCGAAUAAAAAUACACUACAAUAUUUAUGUAUUUUAUUCCACCUCACAUCUUUUAUUUUUGUACAUUAUGUGGCCUAAAAAAGAGGAAAAUAAGAUGCAACACAAUUGUAGAACAAAAUAUUGAUUUGUACAAAUGGAAAUUAAUAUGUAGCAUAGUAAAAUAAUAUGCAAUGGUAGUUUAUCGUGGCCUAAAAUAAAAAAUACACAGUCACAAAUCAAAUGAAUAAUGCUUUUUAAUUGUAUAGUAUAAACAAGAAAAAUAAACCAUAUACACUCAUAGUCAUUUGGAUUUAACACAUCCUAAUUUAACCUUCUGAAAAUAAACAUUAUUAUAAAUAUGACACAAUAUUUUUGUCUUACAUUGUAACCCGAUUAACCCGACUAACUCGACCCUAUAAACCCGAAACCCGAAUAACCCGUACCUUAAUAGGGACGGGUUCUGGGUGAAAUUAUUUUUAUAAAAAACCCGACUAACCCGACCCGUUUAACCCGAAACCCAAUCGGGUUGACCCGAUUAACAGCCCUACUCAUGCCUACAUUUUUUUACCAGGUCACACCUCAACUUUUACUAGCUAUGAUUUUUACAUGCUUUUUCAGGAAAUAAUUAGUAAGUGGAUAUAAAGAUUCAUCAUCAUAGAACAUGCUGCAUCGUGUUGAAACUAUUAUGAAAUUAUAUUUUGAACAAUGUUGUUUUGGAAAAACUUGUACUUUGUUUCUUUUUAAGCUAUGGGUUGUGAGUUUGUGUACAUGCAACAUUUGUUUUUUAUCAAUUGGUGAUACCCACUUGGUUUCUCAACCAAAAGUAAAAAAACACCUUAUUACCCAACCAAGGCAGUUGCUUUUGACAUAACUCUUUUUUAUUUUGAUUAUUUUUUAUGUUUUUUUUUAUAUUCCAAUUACAGAUCCACACCCAUUCGAACAACUUUUUUUUAAGCUAAUUUUUUGUCUUUCUCGGAUUACCUACAAACCUCAUCCGACCAUCAUUUAUUUAUAUAGAUCAGACUCAAUCUCGGAUCCACAAGAUCCUACCCAUUCUGCUUGGAUUCUUUUUGCUCAUAUUCAUUGUACGAGAAAAAUCCAUUCAAAUUUUUUGGUUUUCUAUUUCGGAUCAAACUAUCCGAACCGACCCACUUCAUUUUGGAUUCACUUCUCUUUAUUGGAUUCACUUUUGCUAAUUUUGAAUGACACAUUUUUUUGUCCCAACAUUUUUUUAAAACCAAUUAAUUUCUUUCUUUUUAUUUUACCCAAUUAUUUCAUUAGAAACAAUUUUUCCUUUUAGCCCCAACCCAAUACCUUUUAGUCUCUAAUGCUCCAUCUGAGGUUAUCAUUAGACCAAAUUUUUUACAAACAAUUUUGUGUUAUGAAUUAUUAUUUAGUGAAUGACUAUUGGAUUCUCCAUAUUCCCCCAUUACUCUCCAUAAUUAGUGAACAUUAUAGCAAACAUUAUUAUGUGUUUUAUGAGUGUAGUUAUGCACCACUAUAAUGAGCAUUCAUAUCAUACAUCACCUUUCAUCUUCUUUGUCUAGUAUAAAUAGUGAAUAUUAUGUAUUAUAAAGUUUGAUGAUUUCAUCACAAGUAUUAGAAUAAAAGCUCUCUCUACUCUCAUGUCUUUCUUUACUCUAUAACUUAUCUUGUUAUUUGAUCAUAUUUUAUAACACGUUAUCAGCACGACUCUACCAUAGAGCUCUAACUCUUUAUCGCUCUCAUUAUUUUCAGGUAUGUAUUUUUUUAUAAGUUUACAUGUACAAUGCUUACAAAUUAUUUUCUGAAAUUUAUUAACUAACAAUUCUUGAGCAUACAAGUCUUUAUUUUGAUUAGUAUUUUCACUAUGAAAAACUAUGUUAUGCUAGAGAAAAUUUUCUCUACUUUCCAUGCCACCAACAUGCUCCUGCAGCAGCAAUAUCGUGAGAAAGAUUUAAAAAGAAUAUAUUAUGAAUUAAUCUCAUUUCUUCUUGUGGCUGAAUAAAACUAUGAACUAUUGAUGAAAAAUCAUCAACCAAUCCCAACCGGUUCUAGUGCAUUCCCUGAAGUGAAUGCAAUAUCAUAUAAUCAUAAUAGUCAUGGGUAUAAUCGAGGUCGUGGAGGUUAUUAUCAUAAAAAAUAACAAGAUUACAAGCAACCACCAGAAGUUGGAAAAUAGCAAAAAUCCACAUCCUAAUGAUAGACUAGGUUAAGGAAAAAAAAAAUUGAAAAUGUUUGUCAUUGAUGUGGAACGACCAUUCAUUGGUCUUGUACAUGCUGCUUACCAAAGCAUUUUGUUGAUCUUUAUCAAACUUCUCUAAAAUCUAAAGAAAAAUAAUAUAUCAAAUUUUUUUUAUUCAAAGUGAUAUUCAUGAAGAUCAACCUGAAAUGACACAUUUGGAUGUUGCCGAUUUUCUUGUCUACCCAGAAGGGACAAGUGGUGAUAUGGAUGGUGAUUGAAGAAUAUUGUGUAGUUUUGUUUCAUGACAUUUAUUAUGUUUUUAUGUCAUAUGUCGAAUGUUUCUUAUGUUUUAUUUAUUUAUUGAAAAGAAAUAUGAAUAUUCGCAAAAGAAAUAAGGAAGAUAUAUUUCUUGCAGACAAUGCAAUAACAUUCUGCUUACUUAUCAAUUAGAGAAGCAAAUGUUAAUAUAAUAACAGGUAAUACAAAAAUGAUUAAAAGCUCCAGAAGAGCAAAUAUAGUAUUACCAUAAGUGACAAUAAUUACAAUUGGUGAUGCAUUAUUUUUAUUAAAAUCACCAAGAAAAUUAUUAAGUUUUAAGGAUAAUCGGUCUAACAGAUAUCCUAUUGAAACAACUAAUGAUGGUAAUAAAAAUUAUCUCAAUAUUACAAAAAUGAUAUCGGAUAAGAAAAGUUUUUUGGAAAAAUUACAUGUAUUGUCCUCCGGAUUGUACUAUACAAAUAUUACAAUGAUUCAUGCUAUUGAAAAUAUUACAAUGAUUCAUGUUAUUGAAAAUAAAAACGGUAUGAUAUUACCUUCAUAGUUUGGCAUGACCGGUUGGGCCAUCCCGGAUCAAUUAUGGUAUAUAGAAUAAAUAAAACUUCAAGUGGUCAUUCCUUGAAAAACCAGAAGAUUUUUCAAGAUAAUGAAUUGUGUUGCAUGCUCUUAAGGAAAAUUAAUUUCCAGUCCAUCAUUGAACAAAGUUGGUUAUGAAAGUCUUAGUUUCUUACAAAGAAUUCAAGAGGAUAUAUAUGGACUAAUUCAUCCAACACUAUGUGGACCAUUUAGAUAUUUUAUGGUUUUAAUUGAUGAGUCAACUAGAUGGUCACAUGUGUGCUUGUUGUCUAGCUGUAAUUUGGUUUUUGCAAUAUUACUUGCAUAAAUAAUCAGCCCAAGGGCACAUUUCCACGAACCCAAUUAAGAUAAUUCGACUUGACAAUGUUGCAAAAUUUUCAUUGCAUGCUAUUAACGAUUAUUGCAUGUCAAUUGGAUUGAACAUCCUGUUACACACGUUCGUACACAAAAUGGUCUAAUUGAUUAAUUAAUCAAACACCAUUAAUUAAUUACAAGACCAUUACUAAUGCAUUAUAAACUUUCUAAUCAACAUAAGGGCAUGCAAUUUUACAUGCAACAUCACUUAUAUGCAUAAUGCCAAUUAGUUAUCAUGAGUUCUCCCCUAUUCAACUGGUUUGCGGUCAGGAACCAAAUAUUUACCAUCCAAGGAUGUUUGGAUGUACAAUUUAUGUACCCAUUUCUCCACCUCACUUCACAAAAAUGGGUCCUCGAGAAGAAUGAGAAUUUAUGUUGGUUAUGAAUCUCCAUCUAUAGUAAAAUAUUUAAAAUCAUCAACUAAAGAUUUAUUUACAGCUAUAUUUGAUGAUUAAUAUUUUGAUGAAUCAUAUUUUCCAACAUUAGGGGGAGAAAUAAAGAAGCUGGAAAAUAAAAUUUCUUGAAAGGAAUUAUCACUUUCAGUUUUAGAUCCUCGUUCAAGUCAAUGUGAACUUGAAAUAAAAAAGAUAAUUCCUUUACAAAAUGUAGCAAAUCAAUUGCCAGAAGCAUUUACUGACCCUAAGUGAGUAACAAAGUCUCAUGUACCAGUUAUACAUACUCCAGUUAGAAUUUAUAUCCUACAAGAAAAAAAAUACAACUACAAAUGAAUCUUAGGCACGCCUGAAGCAUGGAAGAUCAGUCGGUUCCAAAGAUAAAAAUCCUCGAAAAUGAAAUGGAGCAAAUACAAUUGAUGGUCCAAAAGAGAAAACAAAAUCUCUUGAAAAGAUUAAUGAAGCUCUAGAAGAGCCCAAUGACAUAACAAAAGAAUAUAAGGUACCUGGAAAAAAUGAAAAUGAUGAGAUCUCAAUAAAUUAUGUCAUCACAGAAAUAAGAUGGUACCAACAUAAGACAGAAGUCGACGAUAAUUUUUCAUAUUAUGUUCCGCGCGCGAUUAUAAAGAAAAUGAUGAUCUUGAACCUAAAUCUAUUGAGAAAUGUAUGAAUAGAAAAUAUUGGCCAAAAUGGAAAGAUGAAAUAAAUAAAGAGCUUAAUUGUCUUACCCAAUGAAAAGUUUUUGGGCCUGUAGUCUAUACACCAANUAGUGGGACACGAAUGAGUAUUUGUGGGCAAAAGAAACGAGAAAAAAUGAAGUUGUGAGAUAUAAAGCAAUACUUGUUGCACAAGGUUUUACCCAAAGGCCCGAAAUUGAUUAUGAAGAAACGUAUUCUCCUGUAGUUGAUGCAAUUACAUUCAGUUAUUUUAUAAGUUUAACAACAUAUGCAAAACUGAAGAUGUGUCUAAUGGAUGUAUUUUACCACUUAUUUAUAUGGUUCACUUGAAAAUGAUAUUUAUAUGAAAAUCCCAGAAGUGUUUAAGGUGCUAGAAGCACAAACUUCUCAUUCUCGUGAAGUAUAUUUGAUGAAAUUAAAUAAAUCUUUGUAUAGAUUGAAACAAUUUGGCCGUAUGUGCUUCAAUUGUUUUAGUACAUUUCGGUUGAAAAAGUGCUAUAAAAAUGAUCCAUUAAGCCCAUGUGUAUUCAUAAAAAGAUGCAGAUAAGAGUUUAUCAUAAUUGAUGCUAUUGUAGAUGAUUUGAACAUAAUUGGAACUCCUAGAGAAUUGGAAAAGGUCACUUCCUGUUUGAAAGAAAUUUUUGAAAUGAAUGAUCUUGGUAAGAUGAAAUUCUAUUUGGGUCUUCAAAUUAAGCACACAAAAAAUGGAGUUUUUGUACAUUAAUAUCUAGAAAAGGUGCUAAAAAUGUUUUAUAUGAAUAACUCACAUCCAUGAGUAACCCGAAGGUGGUAAGGCACUUAGAUGCCAAAAAGGAUCAAUUUCAGCAUCAUAAAAAACAUGAAAAUCUUCUUGUUCCAGAAGAACUAUAUCUUAGUGCUAUUGGUGCACUAAUAUAUCUUACUAUUAAUACAAGACCUGAUAAAUAUUUUGUCGUAAACUUAUUAGCAAGAUAUAGUUGUUGUCCAACAAGAAGAUACUGUAAUAAAGUCAAACACAUUCUUUGAUAUCUUUGAGGUACAAUGGAUAUGAAUUUAUACUAAUCAAAUUCUUAAAAUGCAAAGUUAAUUAGUUAUGUAUAUGCUAGAUAUUUAUCUGAUCCACACAAAAAAGUUAUUUAUUCACUUGUGGAGGUAACGUAAAUUCUUGUCAUUUUGUUAAACAAACUUUAGUUGCUGCUUAUUCUAACCAUGCGGAGAUUAUAGCAAUUUAUAAGAUAAUACAACUUGUAUAGCUCCAUUCAAGGAAGGAUUUAUAAAAGGAGACAGAACCAAGCAUAUAUCACCAAAGUUUUUUUCACUCAUGAUCUUCAAAAAGAGUGUGGCAUCAACAUCUAGAAAAUUCAAUCCUGUAACAACUUUCCUGAUUGGUUUACUAAAACACAUCCUACAUCGAAAUUGAAAAGAUGGUACGAAACAUUGUUAUGUGGUGCUUCAAGAGAAUCAAGUGAUGUGCUAAUCUGGGGGAGUUGGAAACAUAUUGUACUCUUUUCCUUAGCUAUGUUUUUCCCACUGGGUUUUCUUUGCAAGGUUUUUAACGAGGCAAUUGUUUCCAAUAUCUAUUAUUAAUCAUGUACUCUUUUUCCUUAAUAAAGGGUUUUUCCCAUGAGGUUUUACCGAUUAAGGUUUUAACGAGGCAUGAUACAAUCGUCAUUCAAGGGGGAGUGUUAUGAAUUAUUAUUUAGUGAAUGACUAUUGGAUUCUCCAUAUUCCCCCAUUACUCUCCAUAAUUAGUGAACAUUAUAGCAAACAUUAUUAUGUAUUUUAUGAGUGUAGUUAUGCACCACUAUAAUGAGCAUUCAUAUCAUACAUCACCUUUCAUCUUCUUUGUCUAGUAUAAAUAGUGAAUAUUAUGUAUUGUAAAGUUUGAUGAUUUCAUCACAAGUAUUAGAAUAAAAGCUCUCUCUACUCUCAUGUCUUUCUUUACUCUAUAACUUAUCUUGUUAUUUGAUCAUAUUUUAUAACAUUUUGUCUAUUAAAACCAUUUAUCCCUUCUUAUUUAAAACCAAUUAUUUUUUUAACACAAAUUUUAUCUCCAAGACUUUAUUCUUCUUGCCGAUUUCAAGUGAAGACACAAGUGUUUUAGAGAUUAUCAUUUUUUGUGUUCUUCCUUCUACCGAGCAACCCGUAUCUGCAACCACCGACUUAUGUUCUUCGAAUAUUCAGAUCCAUAUAUUUAAUCGGAAACUUUUUUGAUCAACAAUGUUCUUCAAAUAUUUUGAUCUUUUUAAGGUUUGCAUUUUAUUUCCUUUAGAAUGGUUAAAUAAGGUAUUUGACCACCUUCAGACCAAAAAAUUUUCGGAUCAGAGAUCAGUCUCUUCCGACCGAGAUUGACAAAUCAAUGGUCUUGCUUCGUAAAUUCGUGUUCGUAUUUCAUUUUAUUAGCAUUAUGAUUCUUCAACAUGGUUUAUUAGAUAUAUCUUUAGUAUUUGUUCAGUACAGCAAAACAUCACACAAUCUACUCAUGACUUGAAAAUAAUAUCCUCGUUUUUACAGGUAGAUGAUCACAUCAUGGGGGAGCGUCCAAUGCUCCAUCAUAUCCGACAUAUUUUCUUGCCCGAUUUCAUUAUUAUUUUUUAUCUUUAUUGCAUCCUCGAACAAAAAUAGGGGGAGAAUAAUGGGCAUCCACGUUUGAAAUUUUUAUUUGAGUUUGGAUUUUAGAGACAUUUGAAGAUGCAGAUUUAUCUAGUAAUGCGAUUUGGCACUGAUUUUUGGGUUUUAGAGAUCAAAUUUUUAGGCAUUACUAGAUGUUCUUUGGAUCAUGAUUAUUUAUAUCCAGACUCUAUUUUUUGGGAUGUCUCAUUUGUGUUAGCAUCCAAAUCAGGUUUUAUGAUUGUUCGAGUUUGGAUUUUCGAUAUUUUGAAGGCGGAGAUUAUUUUGGAGAUGCGACGCGACACUGAAUUGAUCAUUUUUUUAUCAGAAUUUUUGCAUUGCAAGACAUUUCUUCGGAUCCAUAUUAUUUAUUAUUCAUACUUUACUUAAGGAUGCUUUACACUUUCAACAAGUAUUUUUCAGAGAUUUUUGGUUCCUUAUGAUUUGGGAUCGGAAUUUGAGGCCUUUGUGUGAUUCGAUAUUGAGAUCUUUAGUUCAACAAUCAUAUGGCAGAUUGUGAACCUGAUCGGUUUUUGGGACUGGUCUAAUUUGAAGAUUGGGAUUUCAUAUUUGUGUUGAGAGUUGGUUCCUCUAAAUGUUCUUUGAUGUUAAAGAUUCCAUUGUCAGAUUCAGAGUUCGUAGUUGCUUCAUAAUUUUUGAGAUAUAUUAGCACCAGACCUGCCCGUCAGUUGUUCUUCCUUUUAUCAUUGAUUUUUACCCUCAUCAUUUUUGAGAAUUUAAGGGGAGAUUAUUGGAACAGGAAACACCUACAAUCAUGAGUGAUUUAUUAGGUUGGAAUAGUCUAUUGUAUGAAAUGCAUAUUCCAUCCACUACUAUAUAAAGUGGUGGUAUGUGGUCAUUUGAGGUGUGCACCAUGUAGACAUUAGAUUAGAGAGAGUAUUGCUGGAAUAUUCUUCCUAUCCAUGAGUGUUCUUAAUUGUAAUAUUUGAUAUCUCUCUAUCUAUACAUUGUUAGUUUACUUAAUUGUUUAUCAUGUUCUUACAAUUAUCUUCAUGAUUAUUAUUAUUAUGCAACAAAGCAAUCAUUAAACUGGUACAACAAUAUUUCUUUCCUUCUCCUAUUUUUCUGUCAAAGGCUUCAUGAAAUAAAUUUUAAUGUUACCAUUCUCUUCGUAUUGGAUACAUUUCCGGAGCACUCCCCAUACAUUAUUCAUUCAAAUAUCUUCUUCAAAGAUUAAAUAAUGAAUGCCUUCAAUAGUAAGAUCCAUAGUUCGAAAUGACUUUCUAACAACUGUUGUUGUUUCUGACCAACUCUCAAGAAGCAAAGAUAAUUACAGUAGUGCCCAAACUUCGUCUUUGAACCAUAUGUCAAAAAUUGCAAUCUUUAUAUUAUUAAGUUGAAUUUAUUCACAUGGUAUGUAAUAGGGCCAGAUUCCUUCAUCUUCGUAUUCAACAUACGUCUAUGAAAGAUCUUUAUGCUCAAGAAAUAUUAUAGGAUGAUAUUUGAUAGAUAAUAUAUGAUCCUAAAGGGUCACACUAGCAACAACUUGAGGUUAAUAUAUAUAUAUAUAUANUGAUGAAUAUUUAUGUUUCUUGUAUUUAAUUGGAAAAAUUGUUAUUAAUGGAAAUAAUAUUUUUUAAGAGAGAAAAACAACUAAUAACUCACAUAGUAUGAAUUAUAUGUUGCAUACAUCUUUUUGGACUUAUAGUAGGUUAUUUAUAUAGAUAUAGCUUAUAUAACAAUAUGAUGUAUAUUCUAGUUUAUGAAAAUGGAUUAUGAUUCACACCCCCUAUCACAUCCCUCCUCAUUGCCAUGAAUGAGCUUGGACGGGUGAAUUUGGAGUGUUGGGUUUUCUUAUUACAAGCCAUACAUGUCAUAUGAUAUCAUACCUUCUUUGAAUACUAGCAUUGACUUUGGUAUAUAAUUGUAUGUAUAAAAGGAGACUAAAGGAUUUCAAAAGAGUUUGAUCUUUCUUCUUCUUUUCUUCUAAAAAGUCAUGCCUUUUUCUCUCUAUCCCCUUUCCUCAUUGUUUCAGUAAGUUAUGUAAAUUGAGUGUUUAUUAGUUGCUUCUCCUUAAGAAUUAUUUGGUAUAUGUCUUUAAGGAUUAAGAACAACUAAAUAUACAAGAUGGACUAGCAUCCAUGUCAAGUUCAAGAAUUGUUGGUGUUUCUAACUAAUGUGGAGUUCUACCUUUACAUUCUUCAUCAACUUACAACCUCCUAAGAGGAUCAAAGUCUUCAAACGUUGUCGCUUUUUUCCUAUGGCUGUGUUUUAAUCUUUCCAUGCUUUGCAAAAUGAUCUUUCAUGGGUUAAAAUGGUUUUAAGUUUAUUUAAAUCUUAAAAUGUUUCUAUUGCUAAUCUCCUAGUUUUGACACUAUAAUUAGACUAUUUUUUAUAAAUAAAACCCAACAAUUGGUAUCAAAUCCAUUUUUGCAAGCUUGGUUAGAUUAUUAGAUUAUUUGGUAUAACCUUUAUUUUUGGAAAACAUGGAUUGUUUUCUUUUUAUAAGAAAAUUCCAUAAACACUUUUUGUUACAACUUUAUAAUUGUUAUUUUAUAUGGCAAAAGUUCUAACAUCCAUAAAAUUUUGAAAAUUUUAAAACUUUUAAAUAACUCCAAAAACCAUCAUUCAUUACAAAUUUCUUUCAAAAUAGUUCAACAUUGGGGAAAUCCGAGAAAUCUUAAAACAAUUACAAGGAGGUGCACGAUCACGCCUUCGCCUUCCUGCGAUCCUGAAAUGUACUUGAAACAUAAUCUAAAACUGUAAGCCCGAAGCUUAGUGAGUUUCCCCCAAAAUACCAAUCAUAAUACCAAAACUAGAAUAAUGUCACAAAAAUCAUGCACUCAGAGCCUUCAGCCUGACUGGAACGCCCCCACCGGCCUACAGUCUAUCUGGUACGCUUAUAGAACCUACAUCAUGACUGGUAUGCUACCUUGAGCCUUCAACCUAUUUGGAACGUUCUAUGGGCCUUCGACUUGACUGGUAUGCCCCACUGGCCUUCAGUCUAUCCGGGAUGCCCUGGGUCUGUUGGCCUUCAGCACAAAGCAGGUCCGCCUCAACCAAUCACAUAACCUAUCGACAUAUAAAUAACAAUUAAACAUAUAACCAGAAAAUCAUGCAAACAGACAUAUCUUAUAGAUCACUAAGUAUAUCAUUAUUCUAUUAUCAGGAUACAUAUCUAACAGGUCACUAUAAUACUCACACAUGCAAUAAUCAGGAUAACAAUCCAAAAGGGUCGACCUUGGUGCCUUCGACCCAACAAGUAUAGUGAGGAACACUCACCUCACAAGUAGCUGAACUGAUAAGAUCUAACUCCGGAUCCCAACUCCCGAAUCAAAGCCUAAAAGCAACAUGACCAACCCAUCAAAACCUUAAAUCCCCAAAAUGCUUUUAAAUCCCCAAAACGAGUUGGUUAACCAUGGUCAAAGUCGAGGUCAACAAUCCAUGUUGACCCAACUCGUCGAGUGCACCUACUAACUCGUCGAGUUCCUUUAGUACUUAGAGAAAUAGGGAAAACUUGAGCCAACUCGCCGAGUUAUCAGGACAACUCAUCGAGUUCCUACAGUAUCCAAAAUAGCAGGAAAACUGAAGCCAACUCGCCGAGUUGUCAGAACAACUCGUCGAGUUUUCCCAACUUAACUCAUACAGUCCUUUUUUGUCCCUUCCAACGCCCAAGAAUGCAGAUCUAGAACCCAAGAGCUGGAACGCCAUGUAAAGUUGCUAACUUUACGUCCAUGCAUGACACAAGGAGGCUAAAACACUCAAAGAAGGCCUAACGAGGGUCUAAAGCAUAAAGGGGGCCCUAUAACAUGAUAAAGCUUGAAGCUUUAAGCCCAAAGAGGCCACAAGGCAUCUAGAUCUGAAGUGACAACUUCAAUAAAUGGCCAAACCCAAGAAUGACUCCAGUAUGAGCCAAAAAUGACAAUAAACUUCCAAAGGGGAAGAUCUAUGCAAUAAAUGAUCAAGGUAUCGACUUUUUACCUCAAAUUGGUUGCAGAUACAGAGAAGAUUUUGGAUCUACAACCUUCCUCUCAAUCAAACCUCUUCAAACUCCAAGCUCCUUCAAAAGAUCACCAAAAAUUCACUCUUUAAGCUCACACAUACAAAAAGGAGAGAAUGCACGAAUUAGGGUUUCAUAAUCAACCACCAUCUUGUCGAGUUGGUCCAAAAAGUAUGUGCGACCCAAGAGCUUCCAACACGUCUAGUUGAGGCCAUCAACUCGACGAGUUCCAAAGGGAAAUUUGUCUUUUAAGCCAUAAAUAUCAUACCUGGGAGUUGGGAUGUUACAACUCUCCCCCACUUGAUCUAGGCUUCGUCGUCGAAGCUUGUUGCGGUGAACACAUUCGGAUAAUGCUCCCAAUGAAUUAAUGGUGCAUUGAAAUUUUUUAGUCUGAAACUAGGAAUUGACGGAGAAACACUUCAUGUUUCACUAUGCCUCAUUAUAAUGUUCAAAAUCUUAUAAUUCAUUCUUUUGCGAGAUCUUAAUGAAACUGGUCUUUUUGUAAAUCGUUUAUUCCAAAUGGAUCCAUAUUUUAUUUUCUGAGUUAUGAGAUUUAUGGCUGAGCAUUUUCUAUCCUUUUGUCACUUCUAUCUUACUAAGUCAUUAAUUGAAUAGUUCAACCAAUCAUUCAAGGUUUCUCUCUCAUACCCCCAGUCGGCGGUGGAAACGCCAAGACUUGCAACAUUAGAAUAUUGGAUUACAAAUGUUGAACAUACAUUGCAAAAUACAAUGUAUAACAUAAUUAUUGAAUAUCUCAUUACCAGAAAUCGGGGUUACAUUAGUUCAAAUGCUUUGAACAUUAAGCUUACAUAGUACAACAUAUUACUAGUCUAUAUCCUUGCGUCUUGAUCUCCUGUAAUUGUAACAACGUAAAUUUUCAAAGUAAUUUCUCCAUUUCAAAAUAUAAUAAAAAUUCAUAUAUAAUAUCAAAAUCCGUGUAUCAACAUCAUCUCGAUAAAGAAAUCCCAAGAUCUUAAUGUAAAUAAAACUCCAUCCGUGUGUACGGUCAUGCCGGCGCCUUCCCGCGAUCCUCACUGGUACCUGAAACACAUAACACACAACACGGUAAGCAUAAAUGCUUAGUGAGUUCCCCAAAAUACCACACACAACACAUACGCCACUCAAGGAUACCGUAUGACCCUCCGGUCGAUGUGUCUCAGCGUGACCCUCCAGUCCUGUAGCUCGUUGGACCCUCUGGUCCGGUCAUAGCUCGUUGGACCCUUCGGUCCGAUUUGUAUCGUUGGACCCUUCGGUCCGGUCUAUAUCGUUGGACCCUCCGGUCCGGUCUAUAUAACACAUAGCAUACAUAUAUCACAAUGCACAUAAUCUCAUACAUACACAUAGCACACAAGACCCUCCGGUCUACACAUAGAUACCACUCUAGGUAAUGUAUAGUGAGAAGACUCAACUCGAGUAACUCGGAUAAUCUCGCACACGAAUAUGCUGAUCUAGCCCCCGCAUAAUCACAUAUCAAUAUCCUCAAAUAAAUAAUGGCUCUCAAAGGCUAGAUUAAAUCCCUUCCUAUAAUCCCACAGAAGGGUAAAAGACCAUUUUACCCCUCCUUGACCCAAAAGUCCAAAUGUUGACUAAAACCCUAAAAGUCAACGAAAGUCAACAGGGGCAGUACGCGGGGCGUACCAACUCGUGUACGCGGGGUGUAAUCCGGCUAACCAAAAUCGGGGGAUAAGACCCAUUACGCGACGCGUAAUGGGAUUAUGCCCAACGUAAGUCCCAGUUACCCAUUCUCAAAAGUUUUGGUCUGAAUCGAUUAAGACAAUGGUUCAUAUCAUAGAUCUAGGCACUCUACUGCCUCCUAAACCAUAAAGUCGAAACCUUUAGGCCUUUGCAUGGCUAAAAAGGUUACAACUUCUUCCAAACUCUUAUCCCCUUUCCCCAUUAAGACCAAAACCCAUGCAUGACUCCAUCAUGACGACCAAGAUUGGAUUUUUAUGAACCUACAACUCAUAUUACUCUGAAAUAUGGCAGAUCUAAGCUUAUGGAGACCAUUUGCUCAUAAAGUCUCCACCUUGGGACCAAAAACCCUAAAAAUUGGUCCAUGAAGCACAAAACAAAAAUGACAAGGAAAGCUUUGAGCUUUUUACCUCCAAGUGAAGCUCUUCCCUCUGUAGAACUCAAAUCCAGGCUUGUACUCCAACUUCUAGCCUCCACAAGAACCUCCUCUUCUUCUUCACUAACACACAAAGGCACUUUCUAGCUCAAGAACACUCACACACUAGCUUUAGAAUGAUAAUAUUGCUCUCCUAGGGUUUUUCUCUGUGGAAUGGUGGUUGGGGACAAGACCAUAUCAUUGCUUUUAUAGUCCACAAGCCACAAUUAGGGUUUGCAUCUUGGCCCGCUACGCCCAGCGUACCUAGGCAAGUCUCGUCCAAACUAAGAGCAUGAGUACAUGCAGCGUACUCUUCAGUACGCCCAAUGUACUCAAUGGCCAUAUUUUUCCUUUAGGCGCUAAACUUGACAACUUGGAAAGGAAGAAGGGUUAAAUAAAUAUACCUGAAUUCCGGGAUGUUACAAUUCUCUUCCACUAGAACCAGACUUUUACCUCAAAGUCUCAUGCCGUAAACAACCUCGGAUGCUGGUCCCGCAUCUCUGACUCCGACCCCAAGUCAGCUCGGACCCUCUCCGAUGUUGCCACUGGACCUGAACCAGGGGCACCUCCUUGUUCCUCAGAACCAUGAUCAUUCGAUCCACAAUCGUGAUUGGCCUCUCAACAUAAUUCAUCGUCGCAUCCACCUGAAUGUCCUCCAGUGGUACAACUGUCGUCUCGUCGGCAAUACACUUCCUCAACUGAGACACGUAGAAGGUAUCAUGUAUCUGACUCAACACUGCAGGUAGCUCCAAACGAUAUGCUACCCUGCCCACCCUAGCGGUCACCAUGAAAGGACCAAUGUACCGGGGUCCCAGCUUGCCCCUUUUCUAGAAUCAGAUCACUCCCUCCAAGGAGAUACCUUCAGGAGUACGAAGUCUCCCACCUGGAACUCGAGCUCGGACCGUCGCCUAUCUAGAUAAAUCUUCUGACGACUUUGAGUUGUUAACAACCUCUGUCUGACCUGCUGUAUCUGCUCUGUCGUCUGAAGCACUAUCUCAGUGUUGCCCAUCACUCGUUGCCCUACCUCCCCUAGUAGAUGGGAGUCCGAUACCUCCUCCCAUACAACAACUCGAAGGGAGGCAUACGGAUACUCGAAUGGUGGCUGUUGUUAUAGGAAAACUUAGCCAACGGUAAAUACGUGUCCCAACUUCCUCCAAAGUCCAACACACAUGCUCAAAGCAUGUCCUCGAGCGUCAAAAUUGUCCGCUCACUCUGUCCGUCCGUCUGUGGGUGGUAAGAGGUACUGAAAUGCAGCCUCGUGCCCAACUCCUCAUGGAACUUCUUCGAAAACCUGGAAGUGAAACGUACAUCUCGAUCUGACACAAUCGAUAUCGGUACUCCAUGCCACGAUAUCACCUCCCUCACAUACAACUCUUCCAGUCUCUCUUUUGAAAAGCUCUCACUAAUAGCAAGGAAGGGAGCGCUCUUCGUCAGUCGGUAGAUGAUCACCCAAAUUGCAUCGACACCCCUCGCGGUACUUGGCAAUUUGGUGAUAAAGUCCAUAGAAAUUUGUUCCCACUUCCACUGGGGAACCUCAAGUGGCUGCAACUUGCCAUGAGGACGCUGGUGCUCGGCCUUAUCCCUGAGAUAGGUCAAGCACCUCUUAACGAACCACGCAACAUCCCUCUUCAUACAUGGCCACCAAUAGUCUCUUUCAGGUCCAAAUACAUCUUAGUGGCCCCGGGAUGGAUCAAGAAUCUCGACUUGUGCGCCUCCUCCAUCAGAAUGGUACGUGCCCCGCCCGCAAACGACACCCAAAUCCGACCCUAAAAGGUCAUAAGCCCUCGGCUAUCGGUAACGAACUCAGAUACCUGCCCGAUCACCCGCUCUCUCUUGCUGUUCUCCGGUCUCACGGCCUCUGCCUGGGCCUCCCGAAUGGUGUCCAACACCGGAGUCAUCACCGUCAUCCUCAUACAAACGCCUCAUAUCGGGGUAAUCUCCGCCCUACGGCUCAGGGCAUCGGCUACAACGUUAGCCUUUCCCGGGUGGUACAGGAUCUCACAAUCAUAAUCCUUUACCACAUCCAACCAUCUCCUUUGGCUCAUAUUCAGGUUGGGCUGAUCCAUCAAAUACUUCAAGCUCUUGUGGUCCGUGUAUAUGGUACACUGAACCCCGUACAAAUAGUGACGCCAGAUCUUGAGGGCGAACACCACUCCCCCACAACUACAGAUCGUGGGUGGGAUACCUCGUCUCAUGAGGCUUCAGCUGCCUUGAUGCGUAUGCUAUCACGUGCCCUCUCUACAUCAGCACCGCACCUAACCCCGAUAUCGAUGCGUCAGAAUACACCAAAAAAUCCUCCAUCCCCUCCGGAAGGGAUAACACCAGGGCUUCGCAUAACCUCUAGCAAAGUGUCUCGAAUGAGGCCAGCUGCUCAGGACCCCAACUAAAAGCCACGCCCUUCCGGGUGAACCUGGUGAGAGGAACGACAAUCUUGGAGAAGUCCCUGAUAAAUCUCCGAUAAUAGCCAGCCAACCCCAAAAAACUCUUGAUCUCGGUGGGGGAUCUUGGCACCUCCCAAAUCAUCACAACCUCAAUCUUGGC